AGAAACGAACCUGCAAUAUCUCCAAGAUGUGCCUGCAAGCAAAUUGUUUCUUAAGGCUUUUUCUACAUAGAAGUGAAAUCCAUAAGUAAAGCAAUUAAACAGAUUAUUAAAGCAAAAAAUGAGCUCAAAAUCAUCAGAUUUUUGAGUCAAAGGCAUAUUUUUUAAGCUUGACUAUGCAGCAGGAUUGCUUGAAUGUCUGGUCCAGCUACGGCCAUCUCUCUCGGAAGGGAUUACAUUUCUGCGGAGCUUCAGAAUUCCUGCAAUGCUUUGAUCUUGCUGAAUCUAUGGCAUGAUUGUAACUGUGAGUCAUGCUACACGGUUUACUACAAAAGGGAUCAUGAUGGAAUGGUGGACUAUGGGGAAGGGAACAUUGAUUCUGAGACUUGUAACUCUUUUCAACAUUUUGAAACAGAGAUUAUUUUACUUAUCUUGGACACGAAGGCAGCAUAACAUCGCAGCGAGGAGCGUGGGCUCUGCAUCCAUGAUCCUAGGUGGGAAUCCACCUUCUGCAGCUCACCAGCUCUGUAACUGUGGGCUCACCUUUUCUCUUCUUGGCACCUCCUUUGCCUGCGCUGUGAAAUGAGGACAGGAUUAACACCGAUUUCAUGGAGAUACUUUGAGGGUUAAAAAGGCAAUUUAAUGUAAAACAUUUGGAACAGUGACUGGUUAAAAAUGUAAGCAUUCUAUUGAUAGUAGUUGUUAUUAGAAAAGCUACUUUUUUGUUGUCUUUUCACGUUAUGCUAUUCUAGAAUGAGUUAGUCUGCACAGACUCUCAAUACACAUCCCUCAACUAAAAAAAGCAAGGGAGUGGGAUAUCAAAGUUUUCGAACAUAUGCAUCUAGUUGUAAUUUUUUUCUUAUUUGAGUCUCACAACUUUCUGUGAUAUAAGUAUUUUUACUCUUAUUUACACAUGAAACAACUAAAAACUAUGCAACUUAUGUAGAAUGCUUUAUAUGCUAUGUAUAAACACUGUAUCAAAAUUAUAUUAAGAGAUAUAAUUCUACAAUUCCAUAGGAGAUAAGCUUACCAACUCCAAUGUAUGUUUGUCAAAAUUAAGUUAUAAGAGUAUUAUCAAUUACCCAUUUUAUGAUCAUGUACAAAUUAUAGUUGGACACAUUUCUAACAAAAUUAAUUAAAUGAAAUAAAAAGUCAAUUAAGC
RNAcentral lists this long non-coding RNA (1159 nucleotides) under Homo sapiens (human). RNAcentral's name for it is "HSALNT0157998". The record is from RNAcentral. Lineage: Eukaryota; Metazoa; Chordata; Mammalia; Primates; Hominidae.